RNAcentral lists this transfer RNA (82 nucleotides) under Phycisphaeraceae bacterium. RNAcentral's name for it is "tRNA-OTHER". Lineage: Bacteria; Pseudomonadati; Planctomycetota; Phycisphaerae; Phycisphaerales; Phycisphaeraceae. The record is from RNAcentral.
GGGGCCGAGACAGGCGUUCGAUUGGCGACAAAGCCCCAUGUGGGACGUUGCCAAGACGGGAGUUCAAAUCUCCCCGGCUCCA